UUGUAAUUGUAUUUUAUAGCCCGGAUAUGGAA
Molecule: non-coding RNA, 32 nt
Filed under: Geobacter sulfurreducens KN400
Lineage: Bacteria; Pseudomonadati; Thermodesulfobacteriota; Desulfuromonadia; Geobacterales; Geobacteraceae
Source: RNAcentral